Molecule: microRNA precursor, 66 nt
Organism: Pan paniscus (pygmy chimpanzee)
Lineage: Eukaryota; Metazoa; Chordata; Mammalia; Primates; Hominidae
Source: Ensembl
GCAGAUUGAGGAGAGCACCACAGUGGUCACCACACAGUCUGCUGAGGUUGGAGCUGCUGAGACGAC